UACGUAGGGGGCAAGCGUUGUCCGGAUUUAUUGGGCGUAAAGCGUGCGCAGGCGGUUCGUUGUGUCGGUGGUGAAAGCCCCGGGCUCAACCUGGGAAUGGCCAUGGAAACUGGCGAACUGGAGUGUGGCAGAGGGGGGUGGAAUUCCGCGUGUAGCAGUGAAAUGCGUAGAGAUGCGGAGGAACACCGAUGGCGAAGGCAGCCCCCUGGGCUAGCACUGACGCUCAGGCACGAAAGCGUGGGGAGCAAACAGG
RNAcentral lists this ribosomal RNA (253 nucleotides) under uncultured bacterium. Its description in RNAcentral is "partial 16S ribosomal RNA". It matches the Rfam family "Bacterial small subunit ribosomal RNA", at positions 524 to 776 of the family's 1533-position model. The record is from RNAcentral.